CCUCCCCUCGCGCGCCACCCGUUUUUCCUCUUUCUCCGUUAAUAACGGCCGGGUGGCUGGGGGAGGAGGGAAGGUGGCUCCGGCGGAGUCUGGGCGGGCGCCUCCCACUCAGCCGCCAGUCGCCGUGGGAGCCGGAGGAUGGCGGCGGUAGCAGCGGCCGCUGGAGAGGAGGCGGUGGGGAGGCCCGGGGCGCCAAGCGCGGCGGCAGAAAGCGGCAGCGGCCCGUCAUGGCGCACCAGAACGGAAACCAGCGGCAGUCUCACGGCCACCUGAGUCGCCCCUUCCUGCUGGAGCCAGCGAGGGGUGCCUGCAGCCGGGACACCUUCCUCUCCGCGUCUCCUCGUCUCCCGCGCCCGCGUCAGGCCGCCAGCCUUGCCCACCGCCCCGAGAAGAGCGCGCCGGGCGCCGACUGCCCCUCGGGGCGCCGGGCGGCGGCCCUGGACGUGCGGGGGCCUCUCUGGGCCGGCCGCGGCGCCUCGGCCCUGCCCUCUAGCUCCCGCGUUCGCUCCUACCCUCUUGGCUCUCGGGGCACAGCGCGCGGCCCGGUCCGGAGCAGGGCGGACAUGAGGGCCAAGCAGAGCGGCCUGGCCGCCGCUAACGGCGCACGCGCGCGUACUCGGCUCGGAUCUACCUUCCAGUAGCAGCGGAGUGGCCAAUGGGACCGAGACCAGGGCCGGGGGCCGGGAGCCGCCGCCGCGGGGAGGUUCCCGGCUCAGGUGCCCAGCGCUCACCAGCCCAGCGCCUCGGGCGGCGCCGCGGCGGCCCCGGCAGCCCCGCGCAGCUGUUUCCUCGGGGGGGCGUGGCGUCGGGGGCCCGCGCGGCGCAGUCCUCCUUCAACAUCCCGAACAGCAGCAGCGGCUCGCAGGACUCGGUGCACAGCAGCCCUGAGGAUGGCGGCGGCGGCCGGCACCGGCCGGUGGGCGGGAGCCCCGGCGGGCCGCGCCUGGUGAUCGGCUCCUUACCAGCUCACCUCUCACCGCGCAUGUUUGGAGACUAUAUCAUCAUGUGCAUAGAAAAAUCCAAAGGAUUCUGCAAAAAAGCUACUAGAACCGCUGACUUCAUCAAGAUGCAGUCUCCCUCUGAUGCCCAGCCGAGGCUGGACUGUACUGCCGCCAUCUCGGCUCACUGCAACCUCCCUGCCUGAUUCUCCUGCCUCAGCCUGCCGAGUGCCUGGGAUUGCAGGCGCGCGCCGCCACGCCUGACUGGUUUUUGUAUUUUUUGGUGGAGAAGGGGUUUAGCCGUGUUGGCCGGUCUGGUCUCCAGCUCCUGACCGCGAGUGAUCUGCCCGCCUCGGCCUCCCGAGGUGCCGGGAUUGCAGACGGAGUCUCGCUCGCUCAGUGUUGCCCAGGCUGGAGUGCAGUGGUGUGAUCUCAGCUCGCUACAACCUCCACCUCCCAGCCGCCUGCCUUGGCCUCCCAAAGUGCUGAGAUUGCAGCCUCUGCCUGGCCGCCACCCCGUCUGGGAAGUGAGGAGCGUCUCUGCCUGGCCGCCCAUCGUCUGGGAUGUGAGGAGCCCCUCUGCCCAGCCGCCCAGUCUGAGAUGUGAAGAGCGCCUCUGCCCGGCGCGACCCCGUCUGGGAACUGAGGAGUGUCUCUGCCUGGCUGCCCAUCGUCAGGGAUGUGAGGAGCCCCUCUGUCCAGCCGCCCAGUCUGGGAAGUGAGGAGCGUCUCUGCCUGGCCACCCAUCGUCUGGGAUGUGAGGACCCCCUCUGCCCGGCCACCCAGUCUGGGAAGUGAGGAGCACCUCUUCCCAGCCGCCAUCCCGUCUGGGAAGUGAGGAGCAUCUCUGCCCGGCCGCCCAUCGUCUGAGAUGUGGGGAGCGCCUACUGCCCGGCCACGAUCCUGUCUGGGAACUGAGGAGUGUCUCUGCCCGACCGCCACCUCAUCUGGGAGUAAGGAACGUCUCUGCCUGGCCGCCCCGUCUGAGAAGUGAGGAGCCCCUCUGCCCGGCAGCCACCCCAUCUGGGAAGUGAGGAGCCCCUCUGCCCGGCAGCCACCCCGUCCAGGAGGUGGGGGGCAGCCCCCGCCCGGCCAGCCACCCCGCCCGGGAGGGAGGUGGGGCCAGUCCCCGCCCGGCCAGCCGCCCCGUUCGGGAGGUGGGGGGCGCCUGUGCCCGGCCGCCCCAUCUGGGAAGUGAGGAGCCCCUCUGCCCGGCCGCCACCCCGUCUGGGAGGUGUGCCCAACAGCUCAUUGAGAACGGGCCAUGAUGACGAUGGCAGUUUUGUCAAAUAGAAAGGGGGGAAAUGUGGGGAAAAGAAAGAGAAAUCAGAUUGUCGCGGUGUCUGUGUAGAAAGAAGUAGACAUAGGAGACUCCAUUUUGUUCUGUACUAAGAAAAAUUCUUCUGCCUUGGGAUGAUGUUAAUCUAUAACCUUACCCCCAACCCCGUGCUCUCUGAAACAUGUGCUGUGUCCACUCAGGGUUAAAUGGAUUAAGGGUGGUGCAAGAUGUGCUUUGUUAAACAGAUGCUUGAAGGCAGCAUGCUCCUUAAGAGUCAUUACCACGCCCUAAUCUCAAGUACCCAGGGACACAAACACUGCGGAAGGCCGCAGGGUCCUCUGUCUAGGAAAACCAGAGACCCUUGUUCACAUGUUUAUCUGCUGACCUUCCCUCCACUAUUGUCCUAUGACCCUGCCAAAUACCCCUCUCCGAAAAACACCCAAGAAUGAUCAAUAAAUACUAAAAAAAAAAAAACAAAAAAAAAACAAAAAACAACCAUACUCUUUUAGGCUAAGUGUUGGAAGAUAGUAAUAGAUUUCCGGCUGUGUGACUAAAUAAAUCUUACUUUACUAACGUAACUCCAAGAUAACUAUUCAAGCUCAUCACUCUCACUGUCCCUUCACGUGGUCAUCGUGCCCACCUACAAGGUAUCCAAAGCCAAAAGCCCAUCCCCAUUUAGAACCUUUUUGGCUCCCAUGACUCUCUUUUCCAUUUGGCUUGUCUAUUACCCUGGCUAUUAUUUACACACUAAGGUUCAUUCUUUGAGUUCAUGAGAGAACAGUUUCUGGGGUCUUUAAAUUUUAAGAGAAGAACUUAUGAUAUUCUGUUCAACUAUAAGGAUACACACAACUAAUAAACGUGAAAGGUCCCCUCCCUUUCUUAACAAGAUUGUGCUUACUAUUUUUAUCUGAUAAAGAGGAUCACUCUAUAAAUAUAUUAUUUGUCUCAAAUUAUGACUCACCUCUGGAUAAAGAUGGAAGCAUUUUACUGCAUUAAUUCCAAGAGGAUUUCAGUAAGCCUGUCAUUCAUAAUCGUCCCCAGUCCUUCCAAAAAUGAAGGUGCUUCAAUAUUGGUCUCGAAGUAGGAAUAAAAGUCCCUUUAAAAAAAAAAAAAAAAACGCACAUGUUGUCAAUGUAAUUAAAACUUUAAAAUAUUUAUUUUUAUCACUUCUUUAGAACAUUUUUUUUCUGAAAAAAAAAAGGUCAAUAAUAAGACUUCCUAAUUACUCCUCGCUAUUUUGCAUUCUUGGACUUUAAAAAGCACGUAUUUUCAGGUGAUCACUGUACUAUUCUUUCAAGUUUUCUAUAGGCUUUCAAACUAAAGAGUUGGAGGGAUGGUCGAAUGAUUUAAAGAGUUUCUCUAAUAAUGCCUUAAAAUGUGUAGACAGUAUAUGUUUAACUUUCCCAAAUCUGGUUUUAUCCCCCACAUUUGAGUUGCUUGAAGGUUGACAUCUGAUUAAUUCUAUCAUAAACAGGGAUGCCUUCAUGCCUCUGUACAACUUUGCAUAUAGAAAAUUACUUCUUUUUUUCCCAUGCUCUUAGGAAAUAAAAUAUAAUGACCGUAAGCAUCAUGAGCAAGGAAUCCAGUGCUUCUAGCUUACUUCCAUAGGUCCAUCUAAUCCUCUGUGCUAAGUGAAAGCUCAAUGUUGAUUGACUGUUGUUGCUCACAAAUACUAUGUACUAAAAAGCAGAUUAUUUUAGUGUCUUACACUUCAGCAUAUAAAAUAAAGGCUUCAUUAGGACAGUAAAAGUGCUGUUGAGUUAAAAUUCAUGGAUUAACAAUAGCAUGUUAUGUCUUAUUUCCCCAUCAAUUUCUUGCUUUCGCUCCUAAAAUCUAAAAGCAAAAAAGGGCCACAUUGUUUAAAAUGCAUUCUCCCUAAAAAAUGCUAUAUGCUGUAAUCAUAUCUGCCUCAUCCAACACGAGUAACUACUAAAUUAAAGGUCUGUUUUAGCUGAUGUCUGAAAGGCCAUUACCUCAUAGUUGAUUGGCAAAAUAUGAGUUCAUAAAGAAUUUUCCUUUCUGCUUAGGAGGAUAAAGCAAUAUAAUAAUUAAAGGAUAUCUAAUAUGCAAAAGUCUAUAUUUAGGGAAAUAUUAAAUAUUCCCUUUAAAAUGUUCAAAUGUCAUACAUAUGUUAAUGUAUCCAAUGCUUUGAAACUUUAUAGGGGCAAUAUAGGGAUGAAAAUUAAAAAGCAGUGACUGAGGGGCCUGGCAUAGGCAAAAUCAUAGAGACAGAAAAUAGAGCUGGGUAUGAUUAGUGUUUAGUGGGUGGAGUUUCUGUUUGGGAUAGCAAAAAGUUCUGGAUGUGGACAGCGGUAAUAGUUGCAAGACAAUACGAAUGUACUUAAUGUCACUGAAUUGUACGCUUAAAUGAUAACCAUUGAAAUUUUUCUAUUACAAACUUAAAUCUAAAUUUUACCAUAAUUUAAACAAAAAGCAAUGGCUAGAGUGAGGAGAGUCAGUUUCAAUGCUUCAGUAGGCCCCCGACCAGCUGGGAGCAGAUCUGGAAGAUGGACGGUUGUGGUGUCUUCUAAAUGUAAAAUUGCACAAUUUUGGUAUUCGCUAUCCCACUUACUCCUCACAAUAAUUAUGUGAGAUGUGUAUGGCAGAAAACUCCAUUUUAAAGAUUAAGUAUCGAAAAACAGAAAAAUAUUUAAAAAUUAUAUAAAAAGUUAUCUCUUAAAAGAGAUUAUCUUGAAAUCAAAAGAGAACCAAAUAAUAAUCAUCAUCAGUAAAAGACCCAGUAAAACAUGGGAUCUCCCAACUGUAGCCAAAGAGAAAGCAAUUUCUGAUAACAUCUCAUUUCAUUCCCCUUUAUCACUUCUUCAGUGCUUUGUUUGUCCUCCUUCCUCAGCUACUAUAAUUCAUCUUCAUUAUCUUAAAAAGAAGUCUGCAUUAGGAAAGGGUGAGAGAUAAUGAAGUAACAGAAAAAUAAUCUCAAACACUUUACUAUUUAAAUAAUAAACCUGGGUUAUAGCUUAUGAAACAGUGCAGUUCACCAAAAGUUCGUUUCAAUUCCUAAUACAUUUCUGCCUCAUAGUCUUGCUAUUCUUAAACCAAAAAUUAAUUCAUUAGAAGAAGAAACCUAACCAUUUCAGUGCGAAGUCAUCUCCCAUUCCAAAGAUGAGAGGUGAAAUGACGAUCAUUUUCAAAAAGUGUUACUAAAUGUAACCUAGAAAAAAAUGAAGUAUCAUAUUACAAUAAGAACAAGUUUCAAAACCAACAUUAAAAUAAGCGAUAAGAAAGCCAUAAAAAAGAAAACAAUAAAUUGUUAUAAUAUUGUUUUUAUAAUUUGCUUACUAACUUGUAUGUUUUUAGGCAUUUAUAAUGCAGUAUGGCACACACCUGAAAUUCCUUAACUCGGUGGUUUUUUAAACUUAAUUGUUGCCGGGUGCGUUGGCUCAUGCCUGUAAUCCCAGCACUUUGGGAGCCCAAGGCGGGCAGAUCACUUGAGGUCAGGAGUUCGAGACCAGCCUGGCCAACAUGGUGAAACCCUGUCUCUACUAAAAAUACAAAAAUUAGCCAGCCAUGGUAGUGCAUGUCUGUAAUCCUGGCUGCUAGGGAGGCUGAGGCAGAAGAAUUGCUUGAACCCAGCAGGCGGAGGUUGCAGUGAGCAGAGAUCAUGCCACUGCACUCCAGCCUGGGCGACAGAGUAAGACUCUGUCUCAAAAAAAAAAAAAACCAACUUAAUUGUAUAUCUAAAAUUCUUGUGGCUCGUUUCACCCUUCCUUCCAUUCCAGGCCUCUAAAUCAGAACAGAGGCAGGUUAGUGUUUGUUUUUUAAGUUUCAAGUGAUUCUAAUGUACCAGCCUUGGGAAAUACCUCCAUAACUGUUGAAAAGGGUUCAGAAUAUAAUUUUAAAUAAAAUUACUUUAGAUCAAAACAGACUUAGAAUAAGUAUAAUAUCACAUAAAGGAUCAACUUUCAAGUGCCAAAGAAUACAGGUGUGUACUUGAAGACCUUUUCGUAGUGAAACUCAGCAGCUGUAGGCAGUGAAAAAAGGAGCAUAUGUGAUAAACAAAAUUAGCUGUGGUCAACAAUUAUGCUAUAGCUAACUUAUGUAGUCAGUACUUUCCAGUGAAGUUGAAAAUAAAGCAAAGUUCCAUAUAUUAACCCUGUUUUCCACUAACCCUUCUUUACAUGUAGGACAUAUGCCAGGGUACCAAAAACUGCAGGAAUAUUCCCUACCAUUGCAGCCUCAGUUCUAAUAUCAAAAUCUCCCUGCAGACUAAAUGUCUAGAGCAGCACUGUGUCAACAGAACAUAGGGGCAGAUCUCAUACCUUCCAAGGGUAGAAAUCGCUGAGCACAGGUAAAAAUAAAAUAUUCCAGAGGGAAAUAAUAUUUUACAAAUUUUUAUAAACACUUUUGUAAAAUAAUGUACACAGGCUUGCACACUGAAAGAGUCAAAGCCAUUUAACUCUGUAUAACCACUGCAGAAUCUUUAUCUUCUUUUUUACCUGACUUCCAAUUGGCGGGUGUUAGUAAAACUUUAUCACCAAAGUUAUUUCACUGGCUGAGCGUGGUGGCUCAUGCCUGUAAUCCCAACACUUCGGGAGGCCAAGGCAGGUGGAUCAUUUGAGGCCAGGAGUUUGGCACCAGCCUGGCCAACACGGUGAAACCUCACCUCUACUAAAAAUACAACAAAUUGGCUGGGUGUGGUGGCGCACACCUGUAAUCCCAGCUACUCAGAAGGGUGAGGCACGAGAAUCACUUGAGCCUGGGAGGCAGAGGUUGCAAUGAGUCAAGAUCGCGCCACUGCACUCCAGCCUGGGAGACAGAGCAAGACUGUCUCAAAAAAAAAAAAAAAACAAAGUUAUUUCACUAGCAACAUAUAAUUACCAUAACACAAAGGAGGGUUUUAAAUGAACUACACAUGCAAAAUACACUAGAAAAGCUAGAUAUUUUAAAAAACGUGUGGUGAAUUAUUUGGUAAAGCCAAAAUAUUUUAAUUCAUAAGUUACUGUUCCCCUAAUGCAUCUAUUUUGUAAAUGCUGUUUCACAUAUGAGGUUUGUAAAAAAGCAAAAUAUAUGUAUAAACUGGCGUACAUAAAGAUGUUCUACAAAUAUAGCCAGAAGUUAUUGUUUUACUGUAUGCAAAGAGUGAUGGCAAUUUUUAAUUCAAAUGUUUUUAAAUAUUUCAAACUGAAACUAAAUCUUACCAAUGUAAAAUUGCCACAAAGACGGCUGGAAAAAAGAAAAGUUAUUAAAAGCUGCUUUAUUAUAAAAUACCGUAAAAACAAGUAUUUCAAAUGUAUUAUUUUACAUGUCUAGAAAGAUAGCACACAAAGGAAGACAGCCAGCUAAUCCUGUCUCUAUGAGCAUAGGAAAAAAUCCAGGACACAAAGUAAAUUCUGAACAGAGCUUACCUCUCUGCAGCAGGGCUUGACAAGCAAAGGGAGAGACUUGAGAGGGUUUUUUUACUUCAGGUAAUUGGUAAGAGUGAUGCAAUUAUGUAAUAUUGUGAUCUUUUUUGUUUUUUGUUUUUUUUAGUAUUCUAUUCCUUUAUAUGAAAUUUUUUAAAGAAGUAAAUAUAUACAGUAUGCUUCAGCUAGUUCUAACCAAGAGGAGCCACUCUAGAUCAGUUUCUCUAGCAUUCAUCAGAAGACAAAUGCAGGCAAUCACUUCCUCAGCGGCACAUCUAAAAGCCCCAUUGUGCAGCUCAACCCUUGAUGAAUUGCAAGCUCUUUGCAAGCGUCCAGACUUAGGAACUACUAGAUGGCCUAGGACACUUAUCUGGAGGCACCUGUGCCAGCGCCCCAUGUAUACAUAAGACUUCACCAGGGAGCUGGGAGACACUGCUCUGGGUAUGGAGCUUUUACCAGAGCUGCAAAUGCAGCCUGUGCCCGUUUGGUUGGGGAAUUGCUUGUUUUCAAGGGUACCAUGGAGCUGGAGAGAGAAAAGUGGGGAACAGAACAAGUUAAAACACCACAGACUUUGCUGUUCUUAUAGAGGUUCAGCAGCUUUUCUUGAAUUAAUGCCCUUUAGAUUGUUGUAAACCUUUGGUUAAUUUCCAGUUUUGAAGAAAAUGAUUUUGAUAAUUUUCCAAGUAUUUUCAUUGUCAUCAUGGAGUAGUGCAUUUCCUUGGCUAUUCCAGAAGUCCUACCUCUCUUCUGAGAUUUUAUAAUGGUAUUUCUUAUGGUUAUCCCAAAUAUACUUGGCAAGUUGUCUUAUAAACCACCAAUAAUAGCCUCUUAAAAAUUCAAAAAUUACUCCUCUUGGCUAACAAAAUAAAUGCAAAUUAAUUCAA
Molecule: RNA transcript, 8461 nt
Organism: Gorilla gorilla gorilla (western lowland gorilla)
Lineage: Eukaryota; Metazoa; Chordata; Mammalia; Primates; Hominidae
Exons: 3
Source: RefSeq, a predicted model, not a curated record